UGACUCUGGUUUCUCUUCAGAUCAUAUAAAUCUUUCACCUUUUACUAAAGAUUUCCGUGGAGAGCAACAUUUAUGAGUAGGUGCUUAUAGGUAAGUGCUUAUAAUAUAAUAGAUU
Lacerta agilis (Sand lizard) is the source of this 115-nucleotide small nuclear RNA. RefSeq annotates it as U5 spliceosomal RNA. The transcript has a single exon. NCBI's taxonomy places the organism in Eukaryota, Metazoa, Chordata, Lepidosauria, Squamata, Lacertidae. The record is from RefSeq and is a predicted model, not a curated record.